AGAUCAUCACUGGGUAUAAAGCGUGCGCAGGCGGUUUUGUAAGACAGAGGUGAAAUCCCCGGGCUCAACCUGGGAACUGCCUUUGUGACUGCAAGGCUGGAGUGCGGCAGAGGGGGAUGGAAUUCCGCGUGUAGCAGUGAAAUGCGUAGAUAUGCGGAGGAACACCGAUGGCGAAGGCAAUCCCCUGGGCCUGCACUGACGCUCAUGCACGAAAGCGUGGGGAGCAAACA
Molecule: ribosomal RNA, 230 nt
Filed under: uncultured Alicycliphilus sp.
Lineage: Bacteria; Pseudomonadati; Pseudomonadota; Betaproteobacteria; Burkholderiales; Comamonadaceae
Description: partial 16S ribosomal RNA
Rfam family: Bacterial small subunit ribosomal RNA
Source: RNAcentral